This 988-nucleotide long non-coding RNA is filed under the name Sus scrofa (pig). Its description in RNAcentral is "lncRNA (ENSSSCG00050044166.1)". Lineage: Eukaryota; Metazoa; Chordata; Mammalia; Artiodactyla; Suidae. The record is from RNAcentral.
GGAAGCUCGGCGGGGCCUGGAGAGCAGCGUUCCCCGCGGCCCAUUGUCUCCACAAACCUUUAUUGACAAAACCUUCGCUUUUGCAGCUUUUCCCUCUCCCUGCGAAUCACCGUCCUCCUCCUCCUCCAAGUCCCAACCACCACCCUCACCGGCUCUUGUGGCUUUAGCUGAAAAUGGUGUUUAGGGUGAGGGUUUUGGCCUCGUGGGUGAGUCACUCAGCUCUUCCGGUCUCUAUUCACCUUGAUUCGUUUUGUCCUGUUAAUCGGUCCCCUGCCGGUGUAAUCACAGCCCAGCUGCUCCAAGGGGAGAGGACAGUUUCGAGAAGCCUUUUGUGUUGCCAAUACUCUGCCUCUGGGGCAUCCUGGUCACCUGUGGAGGUGUUUCCUGGUUGGCUUUUUUUUUUCUUCCUUUUUUACAGCCACAGCCACAGCCACAACGGAUCACCAUCUGGGACCUUCACCAUCUGGGACCUACACCGCAGCUUGCAGCAAUGCUAGAUCCUCAACCCACUGAGUGAGGCCAGGGAUUGAACCCGCAACCUCCUGGAGACAAUGCUGGGGACUUAGCCUGCUGAGCCACAGCCGGAGCUCCCAUCUCCUGGUAAUAAAGAAGAAAGGAGAACAGCCAGAACGAAGGCGCCCCAGCCCUUGUGAGCCAAGCAGUUACCAUGGAGACCGGACGUACCCGUUCCCCUGAGCCGUCUGGAAUACUGGACAAAAACGCAUGAAACAACGGUUCCGAUGUCGCCUCCCUCCUUCCCCUCAUCCCAUCCCUGUGCCUCCCUUCACUCCGUGAAGCCUUUGAAGAAUGUCAUCCUGUUCGUCUCGUUAGAACGAAACCUCCUCGAAGCUGGUGGCUGGGUCUUGUUCUGCGUCUCACGCGGCCCGCUUGCAGGCAGCAGAGGGCGCGUGAACACACAAAAGACACAAAAUUGAUGAUAGAUUUAGGAUUGUCCAUUAAAGUUUCAACAGUGUGAAUUUCACUAAAA